UGGGGAAUCUUGCGCAAUGGGCGAAAGCCUGACGCAGCCAUGCCGCGUGGAUGAUGAAGGUCUUAGGAUUGUAAAAUCCUUUCACCGGGGACGAUAAUGACGGUACCCGGAGAAGAAGCCCCGGCUAACUUCGUGCCAGCAGCCGCGGUAAUACGAAGGGGGCUAGCGUUGCUCGGAAUUACCGGGCGUAAAGGGCGCGUAGGCGGACAGUUAAGUUGGGGGUGAAAGCCCGGGGCUCAACCUCGGAAAUGCCUUCAAUACUGGCUGUCUUGAGUACGGGAGAGGUGAGUGGAACUCCGAGUGUAGAGGUGAAAUUCGUAGAUAUUCGGAAGAACACCAGUGGCGAAGGCGACUCACUGGCCCGUUACUGACGCUGAGGCGCGAAAGCGUGGGGAGCAAACA
Molecule: ribosomal RNA, 402 nt
Filed under: uncultured bacterium
Lineage: Bacteria
Description: partial 16S ribosomal RNA
Rfam family: Bacterial small subunit ribosomal RNA
Source: RNAcentral